UGGCGGACGGGUGAGUAACGCGUGAGGAACCUGCCUUUCAGAGGGGGACAACAGUUGGAAACGACUGCUAAUACCGCAUGACACAGCGGGGUCGCAUGACUCUGCUGUCAAAGAUUUAUCGCUGAAAGAUGGCCUCGCGUCUGAUUAGAUAGUUGGUGAGGUAACGGCCCACCAAGUCGACGAUCAGUAGCCGGACUGAGAGGUUGAACGGCCACAUUGGGACUGAGAUACGGCCCAGACUCCUACGGGAGGCAGCAGUGGGGAAUAUUGGGCAAUGGGGGAAACCCUGACCCAGCAACGCCGCGUGAAGGAAGAAGGCUUUCGGGUUGUAAACUUCUUUUACCAGGGACGAAGGACGUGACGGUACCUGGAGAAAAAGCCACGGCUAACUACGUGCCAGCAGCCGCGGUAAUACGUAGGUGGCAAGCGUUGUCCGGAUUUACUGGGUGUAAAGGGCGUGUAGGCGGGAGAGCAAGUCAGAAGUGAAAUCUAUGGGCUUAACCCAUAAACUGCUUUUGAAACUGUUCUUCUUGAGUAUCGGAGAGGCAGGCGGAAUUCCUAGUG
RNAcentral lists this ribosomal RNA (564 nucleotides) under uncultured bacterium. RNAcentral's name for it is "bacterial SSU rRNA". It matches the Rfam family "Bacterial small subunit ribosomal RNA", at positions 96 to 675 of the family's 1533-position model. The record is from RNAcentral.